RNA transcript from Fragaria vesca subsp. vesca, 681 nucleotides. RefSeq lists it as uncharacterized. Lineage: Eukaryota; Viridiplantae; Streptophyta; Magnoliopsida; Rosales; Rosaceae. The record is from RefSeq and is a predicted model, not a curated record. The transcript is spliced from 3 exons.
UCCGGCGCCUUCGACCCCCGGUCCAUCGUCCUCGCCGUCUCCGGCAUGUCAAUCUCGUCGGAAUCCCACCAUCCAGAUCUUCAUCAACACUCCCUUCACAGCACUCUGUCCGUCGUCGGGGACGAAACCUGGCCGGGAGAAAUAUCUUAUAUCCUAGUUGCUGUUUUAAUAUGGGGGGUUCUUCUGUUUGCUGCAAGUCUAGGUGCGAGGAUAGAGUUUUAACAUCAAUUCGGGGACUGUUCAAUGACUCUGAGCUUGAUUCAUUUGGCCUUAUCCCGUCAAGCUUGGUAGGUGAAGAUUACGCAAAAUCUGUGAAGAUGAGUUCUUUGCAAUUGAAUUUCACCGACCUCUGCAACAACGGAUCAUCCCUCGAUGAGCUCAAUACAAUUUUCCACUAACUACUGCAAUUGAAUUUUGGGAUGGUGUUGGAGAUGCUCUAAAGAAAGCAAGUGAUGCCAGUUAGCUACUGCAACUAAGCACUGUAUAGUACUCUGUUCUUGUCCAUCCUUUAGCUACAAAAUGAAGUCUCAUCUACAUUUCAUGCUGAGGAACUCAAGCUAUCAUGUGGAUCUAUUGUUCACAGUAAAAAACUUAUGUAUUCAGUUAUUUACAUGUAACUAUCGGAUUGAUGUAUCGAAAAUCAAUUAAAAAGCUAUCGUCCGAUCAUGUCCAUUACCGCCC